GACGAACGCUGGCGGCGUGCUUAACACAUGCAAGUCGAACGGAAAGGCCCCUUUGGGGGUACUCGAGUGGCGAACGGGUGAGUAACACGUGAGUAACCUUCCCUUGACUUCGGGAUAACUUCAGGAAACUGGGGCUAAUACCGGAUAGGAAUCCUUGCUGCAUGGUGGGGGUUGGAAAGCUUCGGCGGUUUUGGAUGGACUCGCGGCUUAUCAGCUUGUUGGUGGGGUAGUGGCUUACCAAGGCUUUGACGGGUAGCCGGCCUGAGAGGGCGACCGGCCACAUUGGGACUGAGAUACGGCCCAGACUCCUACGGGAGGCAGCAGGGGGGAAUAUUGCACCAUGGGCGGAAGCCUGAUGCAGCAACGCCGCGUGCGGGAUGACGGCCUUCGGGUUGUAAACCGCUUUCAGCAGGGGCGAAGCUUGUGGUGACGGUACCUGCAGAAGAAGCACCGGCUAACUACGUG
RNAcentral lists this ribosomal RNA (465 nucleotides) under uncultured bacterium. Its description in RNAcentral is "partial 16S ribosomal RNA". It matches the Rfam family "Bacterial small subunit ribosomal RNA", at positions 28 to 507 of the family's 1533-position model. The record is from RNAcentral.